This 1250-nucleotide ribosomal RNA is filed under the name uncultured bacterium. Its description in RNAcentral is "partial 16S ribosomal RNA". It matches the Rfam family "Bacterial small subunit ribosomal RNA", at positions 46 to 1324 of the family's 1533-position model. The record is from RNAcentral.
GGAUUAGGCAACAAGUCGAGGGAAACCGCCCCGUAGCGUACUCGAGCGGCGUAAGGGACAGUACCGUAUGGGUCCCGUACCUUCAGGACUGGGAUAGCUGCGGGAAACUGCAAUUAAUACCAGAUAACGUCUCCGGACCAAAGGUGUGAGUCCGCCUGGAGAGCGGCCCAUAUCCUAUUAGCUAGUUGGUGGGGUAAUGGCCUACCAAGGCAAAGAUGGGUAGCAGGUGUGAGAGCACGACCUGCGUCACUGGGACUGAGAACUGCCCGGACACCUACGGGUGGCUGCAGUCGAGAAUCUUCGGCAAUGGGCGCAAGCCUGACCGAGCGACGCCGCGUGUGGGAUGAAGGCCUUCGGGUUGUAAACCACUGUCGGAGGGGAUGAAAUACCGGUAGGUACUCCUAUCGGUUUGACUGAUCCUCGGAGGAAGGGUGGGCUAAGUUCGUGCCAGCAGCCGCGGUAAGACGUACCACCCAAACGUUAUUCGGAAUCACUGGGCUUACAGAGUCCGUAGGCGGCUCGGAAAGUUGGGCGUGAAAUACCUCAGCUCAACUGACGAAUUGCGCUCAAAACUACCGAGCUUGAGAGAGACAGAGGUGAGCGGAACUGAUGGUGGAGCGGUGAAAUGCGUUGAUAUCAUCAGGAACACCGGUGGCGAGGGCGGCUCACUGGGUCUUUUCUGACGCUGAGGGACGAAGCUAGGGUAGCGAACGGGAUUAGAUACCCCGUAGUCCUACCCUUAAACGAUGAGCACUAAAUCCGAGGGGACCCCUCACAUCCUCUUGGUCGUAGGAAAGUUUUGAGUUCUCCGCCUGGGGAAUAUGUCGCAAGGCGGAAACUCAAAAGAAUUGACGGGGUCUCACACAAGCAGGGGAGGAUGGGCUUAAUUGAGGUGCGCGAAGAACCUUAUCCUAGUCUUGGCAUGCUUAGGAACCUGGCCCACAAAUUGAGUGCCCUCAAGGAGCCUUUCCACAGGUGCUCCAUAACUAUCGUCACCUCGUUUCUGAGAAGUCCCGUUAAGUCGCUUAACAGCGAAACCCUUGUCCUUAGUUUCCAGCGGAUCAUGCCGGGACUCUAAGGAAACUCCCAAUUUUAAACCGAGAAGUGGGAUGACCUCAAUUCCUCAUUCCCUUUAUUACUGGGCUCCACACCUCCUCCAAUCCAUGCACAAAGGAAGCAAACCCGGAGGCCACCAAAUCACAAAAAACAUUCCUCAUUUCAAAUUCUAUUCUCCAACCCGCCUACAUUAA